Molecule: ribosomal RNA, 458 nt
Filed under: uncultured bacterium
Lineage: Bacteria
Description: partial 16S ribosomal RNA
Rfam family: Bacterial small subunit ribosomal RNA
Source: RNAcentral
GACGAACGCUGGCGGCGUGCUUAAUACAUGCAAGUCGAACGAGAAGCUGACUUCUGUCAGUGGACAGUGGCGGACGGGGGGGUAAUAUGUAGUUAAUCUCCCUUUAACAGGGGGACAACAGAGGGAAACUUCUGCUAAUACCCCAUAUGAGCGUAGCUGAGCUGCUAUUCUUGCACACUCCGGUGGCUAAAGAUGGUCCUGCAACUGAUUAGCUAGUUGGUGGUGUAAUGGACUACCAAGGCGACGAUCAGUAGCUGGUUGGGGAGGAUGAUCAGCCACAACGGGACUGGGACCCCGCCCCUAACUCUACGGGGAGGAGGAGUAGGGAAUUUUGCGACAUGGGCGAAAGGCUGACGCAGCAACGGCGCGGGAACGGAUGAACCCCUCGGGGUGUAAAAUUCCGUUAGUGCGGACGAAACAUGACGGUACCCACAGAGUAAGCACCGGCUAACUCCGUG